GGUCCUGUGGUCUAGUUGGUUAGGACGUUUCCUUUACACCGUAAAGAAAUCGGAAAAGAUCCCCGGUUCGAGCCCGGGCGGGAUCA
Molecule: non-coding RNA, 86 nt
Organism: Fusarium torreyae
Lineage: Eukaryota; Fungi; Ascomycota; Sordariomycetes; Hypocreales; Nectriaceae
Source: the annotation of a GenBank genome assembly